GGAGAGACGGCUCAGAGGUCAAGAGCACUGGACUGCUCUUCCAGGGGUCCUGAGUUCAAUUCUCAGUAUCCACA
This 74-nucleotide transfer RNA is filed under the name Cricetulus griseus (Chinese hamster). It matches the Rfam family "tRNA". Rfam says of the family: Transfer RNA (tRNA) molecules are approximately 80 nucleotides in length. Their secondary structure includes four short double-helical elements and three loops (D, anti-codon, and T loops). Lineage: Eukaryota; Metazoa; Chordata; Mammalia; Rodentia; Cricetidae. The record is from Rfam by way of RNAcentral.